GUGAGGAAUAUUGCACAAUGGGCGAAAGCCUGAUGCAGCAACGCCGCGUGAGGGACGAAGGCCUUCGGGUCGUAAACCUCUUUUCUGGGGGAAGAGAUCAGGACGGUACCUCAGGAAUAAGUCUCGGCUAACUACGUGCCAGCAGCCGCGGUAAAACGUAGGAGGCGAGCGUUAUCCGGAUUUACUGGGCGUAAAGCGCACGCAGGCGGCUCCGUUAGUCGGACGUGAAAGCUCCUGGCUUAACUGGGAGAGGCCGUUCGAUACUGCGGGGCUUGAGGUUGGGAGAGGGGUGUGGAAUUCCCGGUGUAGUGGUGGAAUGCGUAGAGAUCGGGAGGAACACCUGUGGCGAAAGCGGCACCCUGGCCCACACCUGACGCUGAGGUGCGAAAGCGUGGGUAGCAAACAGGAUUAGAAACCCGAGUAGUCC
RNAcentral lists this ribosomal RNA (427 nucleotides) under uncultured bacterium. RNAcentral's name for it is "bacterial SSU rRNA". It matches the Rfam family "Bacterial small subunit ribosomal RNA", at positions 354 to 796 of the family's 1533-position model. The record is from RNAcentral.